RNAcentral lists this ribosomal RNA (503 nucleotides) under uncultured bacterium. RNAcentral's name for it is "partial 16S ribosomal RNA". It matches the Rfam family "Bacterial small subunit ribosomal RNA", at positions 30 to 523 of the family's 1533-position model. The record is from RNAcentral.
AUUGAACGCUGGCGGCAGGCUUAACACAUGCAAGUCGAGCGGGGUGAUGGUGCUUGCACUAUCACUUAGCGGCGGACGGGUGAGUAAUGCUUAGGAAUCUGCCUAUUAGUGGGGGACAACAUCUCGAAAGGGAUGCUAAUACCGCAUACGUCCUACGGGAGAAAGCAGGGGAUCACUUGUGACCUUGCGCUAAUAGAUGAGCCUAAGUCGGAUUAGCUAGUUGGUGGGGUAAAGGCCUACCAAGGCGACGAUCUGUAGCGGGUCUGAGAGGAGGAUCCGCCACCCUGGGACUGAGACACGGCCCAGACUCCUAUGGGAGGCAGCAGUGGGGAAUAUUGGACAAUGGGGGGAACCCUGAUCCAGCCAUGCCGCGUGUGUGAAGAAGGCCUUAUGGUUGUAAAGCACUUUAAGCGAGGAGGAGGCUCUUUUGGUUAAUACCCAAGAUGAGUGGACGUUACUCGCAGAAUAAGCACCGGCUAACUCUGUGCCAGCAGCCGCGGUAA